Molecule: ribosomal RNA, 1069 nt
Filed under: Cladosporium salinae
Lineage: Eukaryota; Fungi; Ascomycota; Dothideomycetes; Cladosporiales; Cladosporiaceae
Description: SSU rRNA
Rfam family: Eukaryotic small subunit ribosomal RNA
Source: RNAcentral
GUCUAAGUAUAAGCAACUAUACGGUGAAACUGCGAAUGGCUCAUUAAAUCAGUUAUCGUUUAUUUGAUAGUACCUUACUACAUGGAUAACCGUGGUAAUUCUAGAGCUAAUACAUGCUAAAAACCUCGACUUCGGAAGGGGUGUAUUUAUUAGAUAAAAAACCAAUGCCCUUCGGGGCUCCUUGGUGAAUCAUAAUAACUUAACGAAUCGCAUGGCCUUGCGCCGGCGAUGGUUCAUUCAAAUUUCUGCCCUAUCAACUUUCGAUGGUAGGAUAGUGGCCUACCAUGGUAUCAACGGGUAACGGGGAAUUAGGGUUCGACUCCGGAGAGGGAGCCUGAGAAACGGCUACCACAUCCAAGGAAGGCAGCAGGCGCGCAAAUUACCCAAUCCCGACACGGGGAGGUAGUGACAAUAAAUACUGAUACAGGGCUCUUUUGGGUCUUGUAAUUGGAAUGAGUACAAUUUAAAUCCCUUAACGAGGAACAAUUGGAGGGCAAGUCUGGUGCCAGCAGCCGCGGUAAUUCCAGCUCCAAUAGCGUAUAUUAAAGUUGUUGCAGUUAAAAAGCUCGUAGUUGAACCUUGGGCCUGGCUGGCCGGUCCGCCUCACCGCGUGUACUGGUCCGGCCGGGCCUUUCCUUCUGGGGAACCUCAUGCCCUUCACUGGGCGUGUUGGGGAACCAGGACUUUUACUUUGAAAAAAUUAGAGUGUUCAAAGCAGGCCUUUGCUCGAAUACAUUAGCAUGGAAUAAUAGAAUAGGACGUGUGGUUCUAUUUUGUUGGUUUCUAGGACCGCCGUAAUGAUUAAUAGGGAUAGUCGGGGGCAUCAGUAUUCAAUCGUCAGAGGUGAAAUUCUUGGAUUGAUUGAAGACUAACUACUGCGAAAGCAUUUGCCAAGGAUGUUUUCAUUAAUCAGUGAACGAAAGUUAGGGGAUCGAAGACGAUCAGAUACCGUCGUAGUCUUAACCAUAAACUAUGCCGACUAGGGAUCGGGCGGUGUUAGUAUUUUGACCCGCUCGGCACCUUACGAGAAAUCAAAGUUUUUGGGUUCUGGGGGGAGUAUGGUCGCAAG